This 249-nucleotide ribosomal RNA is filed under the name uncultured bacterium. RNAcentral describes it as "partial 16S ribosomal RNA". It matches the Rfam family "Bacterial small subunit ribosomal RNA", at positions 335 to 580 of the family's 1533-position model. The record is from RNAcentral.
GUCCCUACGGGAGGCAGCAGUGAGGAAUAUUGGUCAAUGGGCUUACGCCUGAACCAGCCAAGUCGCGUGAGGGAAGACUGCCCUAUGGGUUGUAAACCUCUUUUGUCAGGGAGCAACGCCGGCUACGUGUAGCCGGACUGAGAGUACCUGAAGAAAAAGCAUCGGCUAACUCCGUGCCAGCAGCCGCGGUAAUACUGAGGAUGCGCGCGUUAUCCGGAUUGUUUGGGUUUAAAGGGUGCGUAGGCGGAA